Molecule: ribosomal RNA, 1722 nt
Filed under: Proteus mirabilis
Lineage: Bacteria; Pseudomonadati; Pseudomonadota; Gammaproteobacteria; Enterobacterales; Morganellaceae
Description: partial 23S ribosomal RNA
Rfam family: Bacterial large subunit ribosomal RNA
Source: RNAcentral
GUUGGGUAGGGGAGCGUUCUGUAAGCCUGCGAAGGUGUACUGUGAGGUAUGCUGGAGGUAUCAGAAGUGCGAAUGCUGACAUAAGUAACGAUAAUGCGGGUGAAAAACCCGCACGCCGGAAGACCAAGGGUUCCUGUCCAACGUUAAUCGGGGCAGGGUGAGUCGACCCCUAAGGCGAGGCUGAAAAGCGUAGUCGAUGGGAAACGGGUUAAUAUUCCCGUACUGGUGGUAACUGCGAUGGGGGAACGGAGAAGGCUAGGUUGUCCGGGCGACGGUCGUCCCGGUUCAAGCAGGUAGGCAGAGUGAUUAGGCAAAUCCGGUCACUUAAUGCUGAGAUGUGAUGACGAGCCACCAAGGUGGUGAAGCAAUUGAUGCCCCGCUUCCAGGAAAAGCCUCUAAGCUUCAGGUUACCAACAAUCGUACCCCAAACCGACACAGGUGGUCAGGUAGAGAAUACUCAGGCGCUUGAGAGAACUCGGGUGAAGGAACUAGGCAAAAUGGUGCCGUAACUUCGGGAGAAGGCACGCUGGCGGUAGGUAAAGUCCCUUGCGGACGGCGCUGAAGCCAGUCGAAGAUACCAGCUGGCUGCAACUGUUUAUUAAAAACACAGCACUGUGCAAACACGAAAGUGGACGUAUACGGUGUGACGCCUGCCCGGUGCUGGAAGGUUAAUUGAUGGGGUUAGCGCAAGCGAAGCUCCUGAUCGAAGCCCCAGUAAACGGCGGCCGUAACUAUAACGGUCCUAAGGUAGCGAAAUUCCUUGUCGGGUAAGUUCCGACCUGCACGAAUGGCGUAAUGAUGGCCAGGCUGUCUCCACCCGAGACUCAGUGAAAUUGAACUCGCUGUGAAGAUGCAGUGUACCCGCGGCAAGACGGAAAGACCCCGUGAACCUUUACUAUAGCUUGACACUGAACAUUGAGCCUUGAUGUGUAGGAUAGGUGGGAGGCUUUGAAGUGUGGACGCCAGUCUGCAUGGAGCCAACCUUGAAAUACCACCCUUUAACGUUUGAUGUUCUAACCUAGGCCCAUAAACUGGGUCGGGGACCGUGUCUGGUGGGUAGUUUGACUGGGGCGGUCUCCUCCUAAAGAGUAACGGAGGAGCACGAAGGUUGGCUAAGCAUGGUCGGACAUCAUGCGGUUAGUGCAAAGGCAUAAGCCAGCUUGACUGCGAGAGUGACGGCUCGAGCAGGUACGAAAGUAGGUCUUAGUGAUCCGGUGGUUCUGAAUGGAAGGGCCAUCGCUCAACGGAUAAAAGGUACUCCGGGGAUAACAGGCUGAUACCGCCCAAGAGUUCAUAUCGACGGCGGUGUUUGGCACCUCGAUGUCGGCUCAUCACAUCCUGGGGCUGAAGUAGGUCCCAAGGGUAUGGCUGUUCGCCAUUUAAAGUGGUACGCGAGCUGGGUUUAGAACGUCGUGAGACAGUUCGGUCCCUAUCUGCCGUGGGCGUUGGAAGAUUGAGAGGGGUUGCUCCUAGUACGAGAGGACCGGAGUGAACGCACCACUGGUGUUCGGGUUGUCAUGCCAAUGGCAUUGCCCGGUAGCUAAGUGCGGAAGAGAUAACCGCUGAAAGCAUCUAAGCGGGAAACUUGCCUCGAGAUGAGUCUUCCCUGUCGCUUUAAGCGACCUAAAGGAACGUUUAAGACUAAGACGUUGAUAGGCUGGGUGUGUAAGCGUAGCGAUACGUUGAGCUAACCAGUACUAAUGAACCGUGAGGCUUAACCUG